This 392-nucleotide ribosomal RNA is filed under the name uncultured bacterium. RNAcentral's name for it is "partial 16S ribosomal RNA". It matches the Rfam family "Bacterial small subunit ribosomal RNA", at positions 523 to 917 of the family's 1533-position model. The record is from RNAcentral.
AUACGGAGGAUCCAAGCGUUAUCCGGAUUUAUUGGGUUUAAAGGGUGCGUAGGCGGACUGGUAAGUCAGCUGUGAAAGUUUGCGGCUUAACCGUAAAAUUGCAGUUGAUACUGUCAGUCUUGAGUGUGCAUGAGGUGGGCGGAAUUUGUGGUGUAGCGGUGAAAUGCUUAGAUAUCACGAGGAACUCCAAUUGCGAAGGCAGCUCACUGGGGCAUAACUGACGCUGAUGCACGAAGGUGUGGGUAUCAAACAGGAUUAGAUACCCUGGUAGUCCACACAGUAAACUAUGAAUACUCGCUGUUUGCGAUAUACAGUAAGCGGCCAAGCGAAAGCAUUAAGUAUUCCACCUGGGGAGUACGCCGGCAACGGUGAAACUCAAAGGAAUUGACGGG